GAUGAACGCUGGCGGCGUGCCUAAUACAUGCAAGUCGAGCGAACGGACGAGAAGCUUGCUUCUCUGAUGUUAGCGGCGGACGGGUGAGUAACACGUGGAUAACCUACCUAUAAGACUGGGAUAACUUCGGGAAACCGUAGCUAAUACCGGAUAAUAUUUUGAACCGCAUGGUUCAAAAGUGAAAGACGGUCUUGCUGUCACUUAUAGAUGGAUCCGCGCUGCAUUAGCUAGUUGGUAAGGUAACGGCUUACCAAGGCAACGAUGCAUAGCCGACCUGAGAGGGUGAUCGGCCACACUGGAACUGAGACACGGUCCAGACUCCUACGGGAGGCAGCAGUGGGGAAUCUUCCGCAAUGGGCGAAAGCCUGACGGAGCAACGCCGCGUGAGUGAUGAAGGUCUUCGGAUCGUAGAACUCUGUUAUUAGGGAAGAACAUAUGUGUAAGUAACUGUGCACAUCUUGACGGUACCUAAUCAGAAAGCCACGGCUAACUACGUG
This 497-nucleotide ribosomal RNA is filed under the name uncultured bacterium. Its description in RNAcentral is "partial 16S ribosomal RNA". It matches the Rfam family "Bacterial small subunit ribosomal RNA", at positions 28 to 507 of the family's 1533-position model. The record is from RNAcentral.